This 252-nucleotide ribosomal RNA is filed under the name uncultured prokaryote. Its description in RNAcentral is "partial 16S rRNA". It matches the Rfam family "Archaeal small subunit ribosomal RNA", at positions 475 to 726 of the family's 1478-position model. The record is from RNAcentral.
ACCGGCAGCUCAAGUGGUGGCCAUUAUUAUUGGGCCUAAAGCGUUCGUAGCCGGUUUGAUAAGUCUCUGGUGAAAUCCCGCAGCUUAACUGUGGGACUUGCUGGAGAUACUAUCAGACUUGAGGUCGGGAGAGGUUAGGGGUACUCCCAGGGGACGGGUGAAAUCAUAUAAUCCUGGGAGGACUAACUGUGGCGAAGGCGCCUAACUGGAACGAACCUGCAGGUGAGUAACGAAAGUCAGGGGUGCGAAACG